AGAGUUUGAUCCUGGCUCAGGACGAACGCUGGCGGCGCGCUUAACACAUGCAAGUCGAGCGAUAACCAUGGCUUCGGCCAUGGGGAGAGCGGCGAACGGGUGAGUAACACGUGAGCGAUCUGCCCUCGACACUGGGAUAGCCCGGGGAAACCCGGAUUAAUACCGGAUGGCCUCUCGAGCCCAUGGGCUCGUCAGAAAAGAUGGCUUCGGCUUUCGGUCGAGGAGGAGCUUGCGGCGGAUUAGCUUGUUGGUGAGGUAACGGCUCACCAAGGCGACGAUCCGUAGCUGGUCUGAGAGGACGAUCAGCCACACUGGGACUGAGACACGGCCCAGACUCCUACGGGAGGCAGCAGUGGGGAAUCUUGCGCAAUGGGCGAAAGCCUGACGCAGCGACGCCGCGUGAGGGAAGAAGGCCUUCGGGUUGUAAACCUCUUUCAGGAGGGACGAAGCUACUCGGGUUAAUACCCCAGAGGGUGACGGUACCUCCAGAAGAAGCCCCGGCUAACUACGUGCCAGCCGCCGCGGUAAUAC
This 531-nucleotide ribosomal RNA is filed under the name uncultured bacterium. RNAcentral's name for it is "bacterial SSU rRNA". It matches the Rfam family "Bacterial small subunit ribosomal RNA", at positions 8 to 526 of the family's 1533-position model. The record is from RNAcentral.